Molecule: ribosomal RNA, 255 nt
Filed under: uncultured Glomus
Lineage: Eukaryota; Fungi; Glomeromycota; Glomeromycetes; Glomerales; Glomeraceae
Description: partial 18S ribosomal RNA
Source: RNAcentral
AUACGGCUUCUUGGGAGAGGGCACAGUGUUGGGUGCCCACGCACGCGCGCGCGUAUAUAUCCAGCGUCUCACAUAUGCGGUAUAUAUAUAAGUGUGUGUGCGACGUGUAUAAAAGCGUCUGUAUGUGUGAAUAUUCUGGGAUCAGUACGCAUGGUCUGUGCGCUUCGGUAUGAUACUGGUGUCAUCUGGUUCUCUCCCUUCUGAAGAACCGUCAAUGCCAUUCAGUUGGUGUGGCGGGAAAUCAGGACUGUUACU